Long non-coding RNA from Gavialis gangeticus (Gharial), 710 nucleotides. RefSeq lists it as uncharacterized. NCBI's taxonomy places the organism in Eukaryota, Metazoa, Chordata, Crocodylia, Gavialidae. The record is from RefSeq and is a predicted model, not a curated record. The transcript is spliced from 2 exons.
GGGUCAUGAGGUGUGAAGAUGCAGUUUUUUCCCCUGUAUUAGUUACCUUAACACCUGCCUGUCUACCCAGCAGCAUGUUUGAUUCUGCCUGCUGCUCCACCAGUUAAAAAUGCAAGGAGGUCCUUGACCCCAUGUUCCCACCAUUCUCUGGGGAGGAGUUGAGCUUGUAGGCCCUUCACAAAACCCACUGUUAUCACGAUGCAUACAGUGCCAAAUGGCUGUCCAUAUCUAUUGGUGAGAUGGCUCCCACUGAAGGAUGAAGGCAGAGGACUUCAAAUGCUGCUGCAGAUGUGUGAAGCACACCAACUGCUGCUUCAUUGCCAGCAGCCUAUGUGCCUGAUUUGUGAUGAGCAACUUGAGAUCCUUGCCAAGGACAGCAGCAUCAAGCCGUGCUAUAUGUCAGCAGAGAAGAGGAAGUCUAGGCUGUGAACAUUAAGGCUUUCACUUCAAAUGAGAACCUUUUUGACUUCCUAUCCACUGAUCCAGCUUGGAUGAAACUGACUGGUCAGUCACAGCUACCUGCAUUGCUGCCAGCUGUUGGCUAGCCAGUCCCUUCAAAAUCAUUGUAUCAGAGCCCCUUUGCCUUGGAUACCAUCCAGGCAGGAUCUCAGUCUGCAGCUUUGGGUCUUCAAGUUCUUUACUGCAGACAGUGGCUUGUCCUCUGGUAAACCUGAGGAAGAAAACAGAGGGUGGGGAAACAGGGUUGGGCG